UAGGAAAACAAUAAUAAAUUCGGUCUUACAUCCAGUGGACAACAAUAAUUAAUUCGGUCUUACAUCGAGUGGACAACAAAUUAAUUCGGUCUUACAUACGUAGAGAGUGCACAACAAUAAAUAAUUCGGUCUUACGAGGAGUGGACAAUAAAAAGACUGUGGUGUUUUUGUUCGUUUUUUUCUUUGCUUCCAUAUGUGAACUUCGGCCUACGGAUAUACGAGCCACUUGUGAAGGAAGUUUUCUGCGCGCCAUCUUCUGACUUGCAAAGUAGGAUCACGACCCAGCUGUGAAGGAAAGGCGUUUUGACGAGUGCCACUG
Molecule: long non-coding RNA, 319 nt
Organism: Aplysia californica (California sea hare)
Lineage: Eukaryota; Metazoa; Mollusca; Gastropoda; Aplysiida; Aplysiidae
Exons: 2
Source: RefSeq, a predicted model, not a curated record